Molecule: ribosomal RNA, 360 nt
Filed under: uncultured bacterium
Lineage: Bacteria
Description: bacterial SSU rRNA
Rfam family: Bacterial small subunit ribosomal RNA
Source: RNAcentral
GUAGGCAGCGAGCGUUGUUCGGAGUUACUGGGCGUAAAGGGUGUGUAGGCGGUUGUUUAAGUUUGGUGUGAAAUCUCCCGGCUCAACUGGGAGGGUGCGCCGAAUACUGAAUGACUUGGAGUGCGGGAGAGGAAAGUGGAAUUCCUGGUGUAGCGGUGAAAUGCGUAGAUAUCAGGAGGAACACCGGUGGUGUAGACGGCUUUCUGGACCGUAACUGACGCUGAGACACGAAAGCGUGGGUAGCAAACAGGAUUAGAUACCCUGGUAGUCCACGCCCUAAACGAUGCAUAUUUGGUGUGGGCAGUUCAUUCUGUCCGUGCCGGAGSUAACGCGUUAAAUAUGCCGCCUGGGGAGUACAGU